RNAcentral lists this ribosomal RNA (253 nucleotides) under uncultured bacterium. Its description in RNAcentral is "partial 16S ribosomal RNA". It matches the Rfam family "Bacterial small subunit ribosomal RNA", at positions 524 to 776 of the family's 1533-position model. The record is from RNAcentral.
UACGUAGGUGGCAAGCGUUAUCCGGAAUUAUUGGGCGUAAAGCGCGCGCAGGCGGUCCCUUAAGUCUGAUGUGAAAGCCCACGGCUCAACCGUGGAGGGUCAUUGGAAACUGGGGGACUUGAGUACAGAAGAGGAAAGCGGAAUUCCACGUGUAGCGGUGAAAUGCGUAGAGAUGUGGAGGAACACCAGUGGCGAAGGCGGCUUUCUGGUCUGUAACUGACGCUGAGGCGCGAAAGCGUGGGGAGCAAACAGG